AAGUUCGAAGCGCGGGAAGCGAAGUGGAUCCCUUCGGGGUGAAGCUCGUGGAACGAGCGGCGGACGGGUGAGUAACACGUGGGCAACCUACCUGUAAGAUCGGAAUAACCCCGGGAAACCGGGGCUAAUGCCGGGUAAUACUUUUCUUCGCAUGAAGGAAAGUUGAAAGAUGGCUUCUUGCUAUCACUUACAGAUGGGCCCGCGGCGCAUUAGCUAGUUGGUGAGGUAACGGCUCACCAAGGCGACGAUGCGUAGCCGACCUGAGAGGGUGAUCGGCCACACUGGGACUGAGACACGGCCCAGACUCCUACGGGAGGCAGCAGUAGGGAAUCUUCCGCAAUGGACGAAAGUCUGACGGAGCAACGCCGCGUGAACGAUGAAGGUCUUCGGAUCGUAAAGUUCUGUUGUUAGGGAAGAACAAGUACCGUGCGAAUAGAGCGGUACCUUGACGGUACCUAACGAGGAAGCCCCGGCUAACUACGUGCCAGCAGCCGCGGUAAUACGUAGGGGGCAAGCGUUGUCCGGAAUUAUUGGGCGUAAAGCGCGCGCAGGCGGUUCCUUAAGUCUGAUGUGAAAGCCCACGGCUCAACCGUGGAGGGUCAUUGGAAACUGGGGAACUUGAGGACAGAAGAGGAGAGUGGAAUUCCACGUGUAGCGGUGAAAUGCGCAGAUA
This 673-nucleotide ribosomal RNA is filed under the name Halobacillus sp. SCULCB HBCM-7. RNAcentral's name for it is "bacterial SSU rRNA". It matches the Rfam family "Bacterial small subunit ribosomal RNA", at positions 44 to 696 of the family's 1533-position model. The record is from RNAcentral. Lineage: Bacteria; Bacillati; Bacillota; Bacilli; Caryophanales; Bacillaceae.